Long non-coding RNA from Canis lupus familiaris (dog), 413 nucleotides. RefSeq lists it as uncharacterized. The transcript has 2 exons. The record is from RefSeq and is a predicted model, not a curated record. Lineage: Eukaryota; Metazoa; Chordata; Mammalia; Carnivora; Canidae.
UCUGUGGCCCACUCAUCUGAGACGUGUCUCAGGCUGGUGUGUGCCUGAACAAGCAUCCAGCCACGUCUCUUCCACUGCAGUCACUUUCUACUGUCAAAGAUUUUCUAUGAAAGUUCCUUUCAGAACUGUAAAUCCCAAAUAUGCACAGUGUCCUGCUGAGUCGUCCUUCUCAAGCCGAGACCUUGGGUUUUAUAACCCCUCCUACUAGCCCUGGGGGGUUGAAGCCCAGAGCAUUUUGAUGUGGACUUGGCAAAGGAAGAGGUUCCUGUGCUAAUUUCCUCUUGCUCUAUAUAAUUAGUCAGCAUUUGAAAUGAGGUAACAGGAUAUAAUUGUCUACUGACCAUUGCAAGCCCAUUUGUUUAUGACACACUCACCCGGCUCUUAGAUGUACAAUAUUAUUACCCACCUCUUCA